This 84-nucleotide transfer RNA is filed under the name Chloroflexota bacterium. Its description in RNAcentral is "tRNA-Leu". It matches the Rfam family "tRNA". Rfam says of the family: Transfer RNA (tRNA) molecules are approximately 80 nucleotides in length. Their secondary structure includes four short double-helical elements and three loops (D, anti-codon, and T loops). Lineage: Bacteria; Bacillati; Chloroflexota. The record is from RNAcentral.
GGGCGAGUGGCGGAACGGCAGACGCGCCGGCUUUAGGAGCCGGUGUCGAAAGACGUGCGAGUUCGAGUCUCGCCUCGCCCACCA